This 262-nucleotide ribosomal RNA is filed under the name uncultured bacterium. RNAcentral describes it as "partial 16S ribosomal RNA". It matches the Rfam family "Bacterial small subunit ribosomal RNA", at positions 524 to 776 of the family's 1533-position model. The record is from RNAcentral.
UACGUAGGGUGCAAGCGUUGUCCGGAAUUAUCGUGGCGUAAAGGAGUUCGUAGGCGGUUUGUCGCGUCGUUUGUGAAAACCAGCAGCUCAAACUGGCUGGCUUGGCAGGCGAUGACGGGCAGACUUGAGUACUGCAGGGGAGGACUGGAAUUCCGUGGUGUAGCGGUGGAAAUGCGCAGAUAUCAGGAGGAACACCGGUGGCGAAGGCGGGUCUCUGGGCAGUAACUGACGCUGAGGAACGAAAGCGUGGGUAGCGAACAGG